UACGUAGGGUGCAAGCGUUAAUCGGAAUUACUGGGCGUAAAGCGUGCGCAGGCGGUUUUGUAAGUCUGUCGUGAAAUCCCCGGGCUUAACCUGGGAAUUGCGAUGGAGACUGCAAGGCUAGAAUCUGGCAGAGGGGGGUAGAAUUCCACGUGUAGCAGUGAAAUGCGUAGAGAUGUGGAGGAACACCGAUGGCGAAGGCAGCCCCCUGGGUCGACACUGACGCUCAUGCACGAAAGCGUGGGGAGCAAACAGG
RNAcentral lists this ribosomal RNA (253 nucleotides) under uncultured bacterium. Its description in RNAcentral is "partial 16S ribosomal RNA". It matches the Rfam family "Bacterial small subunit ribosomal RNA", at positions 524 to 776 of the family's 1533-position model. The record is from RNAcentral.